AGCUCCAAUAGCGUAUAUUAAAGUUGUUGCGGUUAAAAAGCUCGUAGUUGGAUUUCUGUUGAGGUCGGGCGGUGUGCACCUCGUGCAUUAUUUGCUUCGGUCUCGGCAUCCUCCUGGGGAACGUUUAGGACUUUAUUGGACUAGGCGAGAUUCAGGACUUUUACUUUGAGGAAAUUAGAGUGUUCACGGCAAGCAAGCGCGGGAAUACAUUAGCAUGGAAUAAUAAUAUAGGACCUUCGUUCUAUUUUGUUGGUUUCUAGAACUUAGGUAAUGAUUAAUAGGGACGAUUGGGGGCAUUCGUAUUAACGCGUCAGAGGUGGAAUUCUUGGAUUGCGUUACGACGAACUACUGCGAAAGCAUUUGCCAAAGAUGUUU
This 375-nucleotide ribosomal RNA is filed under the name uncultured eukaryote. Its description in RNAcentral is "SSU rRNA". It matches the Rfam family "Eukaryotic small subunit ribosomal RNA", at positions 587 to 969 of the family's 1831-position model. The record is from RNAcentral.